Molecule: long non-coding RNA, 706 nt
Organism: Peromyscus leucopus (white-footed mouse)
Lineage: Eukaryota; Metazoa; Chordata; Mammalia; Rodentia; Cricetidae
Exons: 2
Source: RefSeq, a predicted model, not a curated record
GCACUAGGAAGGCUGAGACAGGAGGUGAUGUGGCUAGGCAGAGAAAGGAAUAUAAGGCGGGAGGAUUUUUUCAAAUCAUCACCCAACCUUCCUUCCACCCAAAACCUCACCUCUGCAAAACCUCCCCUACUUCUUCUAGAUUUCAAAAGCUGCCAGCUGUCUGACCUCCUGCUAUGGUUUGAAUGCUUGAAUCCCUCUCCAAAUCUCAUGACAAAACCUUAAAUCCUGUGACGUGAGCUCUGAGCUUCCUGCUCCGGAUGCUAUGCCUGCUGCUGCCAUGCUUCCCAGUGGACUCUUAAUCUUCUGGAACAGAAGCCCAUAUACUCCCUUUCUCCUGUAAGUGAUCUUGAUCAUGACGUUUUAUCACAGCAAUAGAAAAGUAACUAAUAUACCUCCUCCUUACACUCUAUAGCACUGUUUAUUUUCCCUAUAAUAUGGUUGUAAUUUUUAAUUAUCUUGUUUACUUAUACUGCUGCAGCAAGAGAGACAGAUCCAACAAGAUGGUUGAGUAAAUUGUGUUUGCUACCAUGUCUGACAACUCGAGUUCCAUCCCUGGGAUCCACAUGAUGGUGGAAGGAGCAAAGGUACUAAAAAUAAGAUACUUUCCACUAAAUCCUCAAGGGCAAGGACUCUGCUUUAUGUCCAGAAUAUUGGCCACAUAGUAGGUAUUCACCCACUGAAUAAAUCACACAAUCAAGCUACCUUA